Molecule: transfer RNA, 72 nt
Filed under: Deferribacterales bacterium
Lineage: Bacteria; Pseudomonadati; Deferribacterota; Deferribacteres; Deferribacterales
Also listed under: 1 other name
Description: tRNA-Gly
Rfam family: tRNA
About the family: Transfer RNA (tRNA) molecules are approximately 80 nucleotides in length. Their secondary structure includes four short double-helical elements and three loops (D, anti-codon, and T loops). Further hydrogen bonds mediate the characteristic L-shaped molecular structure. tRNAs have two regions of fundamental functional importance: the anti-codon, which is responsible for specific mRNA codon recognition, and the 3' end, to which the tRNAs corresponding amino acid is attached (by aminoacyl-tRNA synthetases). tRNAs cope with the degeneracy of the genetic code in two manners: having more than one tRNA (with a specific anti-codon) for a particular amino acid; and 'wobble' base-pairing, i.e. permitting non-standard base-pairing at the 3rd anti-codon position.
Source: RNAcentral
GCGGGUGUAGCUCAGUGGUAGAGCAUCAGCCUUCCAAGUUGAUGGUCGCGGGUUCAAGUCCCGUCGCCCGCU